Molecule: ribosomal RNA, 615 nt
Filed under: Triticum aestivum (bread wheat)
Lineage: Eukaryota; Viridiplantae; Streptophyta; Magnoliopsida; Poales; Poaceae
Description: partial small subunit ribosomal RNA
Source: RNAcentral
UUGGCCUUCUGUCAACAGUCUGGUGGGUCCCAAUUUUGGCGGUCUGUGAUCCAAUUGCUCCCCGUUCUCCGUAUUGGGACCUCCAUUUCGGUGGGAUCGGGUGCAGUGACCCUGUUUUGGUUCGACCGAUGGGCGGGAGACUCGCCCUUCGCGGCCUGGUUUCCCGAGCUCUUCUCCAUCGCUGUCGCCCCGUCAAUCUCAGCUGAACGGGCCCUUAUUGACUUAGGGCGCCUUGCUUUCCGGAGGCCAUUUGGGCCUCCGGAAACUGCCGCUUGGGAGGAGCUUCUUGAUUGCAUCGCCCUUCAUGAGCCAGGCAUCAACGCUGGCCCGGACCAAGUGUGGUGGCGCCUUGACCCUUCGGGCCAAUUCUCCACCAAGUCCAUCUACUCGGCCAUCGCUCCCUCCUCCGCUCCGUCCCCCCUCCUGGCGGUAUGGCCCAUCCGUCUUCCUCUGAAAAUACAGAUCUUCAUGUGGCAAUGGAUCCGCGGCCGGCUCCCUUCUGGAGUGGAGGUCCACAAGAGCAAUGGUCCGGGCUCUGGUCUUUGCCCGCUCUGUGGUAUCCCCGAGGACUCGAAUCACAUUUUUUUCGCCUGUGUAUCUGCCCAGUUCAUCUAG